This 206-nucleotide unclassified non-coding RNA is filed under the name Hevea brasiliensis (rubber tree). The record is from RNAcentral. Lineage: Eukaryota; Viridiplantae; Streptophyta; Magnoliopsida; Malpighiales; Euphorbiaceae.
GAGCAGACAUAGACCAGAGGAGGUAAACUUCUAAAGAAUAAACCUAUGAAAUUGUUACAGCAUUCCUUAGACUUCAUUGUGAUUGGUAACACCGUGGUAUUUGGAAGAAUUUUGUCAUCUUUAGAUUAUGGACUAUUAUGUGCACCAAAUUUCACUCGAUUAUAAGUUUCAGGUUUAUUGUAGUCUCCAAAUGACGCGGGUAGAUU